UCCAGAUUUGUCGACUUGUCAUUUUCUACUAAUAUCUAGCAACGUCAGAUUCACUGAACUGUUGACCACUAUGAUAAGUAGUUGUGGACCAACAGUUAAAGUAGGAAACUAUUUAGUUCUUCUAAUGAACCUUAUCUGUCCAUCAAGAUUUUUUUUGUUGAUGAAUGUCACUUGCUGCCUUCAAAGACAUGGCUAGCAUUUUUGAAGUUCCUUGAAGAACCACCACCACGAUUUGUCUCCAUAUUGUUAAUACUGAUCUUGACAAUGUGUCGUGUGCUGUAUUAUCUCGGUGUCAGAAGUAUCUCUUCAAUAAAAUUAGGGAUGGUGAUAUUGUGCUCAGAUUAAAGAAGAUUUCUUUCGAUAACGAUUUGGAUGUGUAAUCAGAAGCAUUAGAUUUGAUUGUUCUUAAUGCAGAUGGAUCACACUGGUAUGUGGAAACUAUGUUUGACCAGCUGAGUUUGUUGGGGCAACGAAUCACUACUUCUUUGGUAAAUUAUCUGGUGAGUCUGAUGUGUAUGUUUACACCUUUCCGUACUAAUUUCUGCCUUUUCUUCUCCAUGCUUGGCAUGAAACCAAACAAUUUUUUUUUAUAUCUGAUUGGUAUGGUUACAGAAGAGAAGCUACUGGAACUUUUGGAGCUAGCCAUGUUAUCUGAUACUGCAGAAACAGUAAAAAGAGCUCGGAAAUUAUUGGAUUUAGGCGUUGAUCCAAUAAUUUUGAUGUCUCAAUUGGCUACACUCAUCAUGGAUAUAAUUGCAGAGACUCAUCCAAUAUAAUUGUAUCCUGAAAUAUGUGAAUGUCCCUUGAAUCAGUUCUAAGUCUGGCCAAACCGUCAGCUACUUCAUUGGCUUCCCAGUAGCAAGAAUGACCUUUUUGUUGGACUUCUCCAUCACACGAAUAAUGGAUUAGAUAACAUCUCUCAGCUUGUUAUUUCUUGUGUCUCAUUUCUCUAACAUUUGAAAAACCAAAACGAGAGUCUAGCUCAAUGAUAAACUGAUUAAAACAAUUAUCCAUAAAUCAUUAUAUUAGAGACUAAAUAUUACCACAUUAGCCUUAUCUGCGUUGUUACUGCUAUGGUUAGUAGGCUUAGAGAAACCAAGUAUGAGCCUCCUAGUGAAGUCCCUUAUCAGCUCCCCUUUGCCAGCCUUUUCAUUGUCCACAGAAAACCUCCAACUGAAACUAUUUUAACCGAUACCUGAACAGGAGGCUUUCAAGUUGACCAUAAUAUGUGAAAACCUGAAAUGAUAUUCCCAAUGCUUUUUCCUUACUAUGUUUAUCUCUUGCUGAAUGUGAGUCAUACAAAAGUUGAUGACUCAAUUUUCAUAUCCAUAGUUGAGAUAUUAUUUCACUGAUAUUUGACAUUCAAACGAUGUUUUCUCAUGAAACAGAAGGGGAUUAGGAUGUCGCUGGACAGAAACCUCAAAGUGUGCCAGAUUCUAUUUCUGAUUCUAUAGUUGUUGUAGCAGAAGAUAAAUUAUUGUUAGAAGUGAUGAAUGAAAACCUUUUGAUUGCUAUAUAAGGGAUCCGAAAGAUCAAUGGUAGUUGGGUGAAAUGAAUGAUGAAAUGGUGGAUGGAUGACUGGAGAGUUCUUUUAUGAUGUUGAGUAAUAAGCCAAAUUAUUUCCUGUUGUUGGUUUCGUGCAAGAAACAAUGACAUACAAGAAUUGAGAUGCGAUAUAGUGUUGAGGUACAUUUGUUUCCUUGAUUUUCUGGCUAUAUAUAAAGAGGGUUUUAUUUAUCAUACCAGAAUGUGAAUUUCCGUAUCUUAUGUUUUUAACAUUGGGUGUUAGCAAUAUACAAUUACAGUAUUUUUAAUUAUUCUACCAGAAAGUGAAAUCCUGUACCUUAAGUUUGUAACAUUAUGUUCUGUUACUUACACACUUUGGAGUUUCUUUCUUUAAAUUCACAUGUUGUGUCUGUUAUGUUUGAAGUUCCAUUGACGUUUGACAUUGGAUAUGAACUUGCCCAUGUCGAAUAUGGGCGCUUGGCGCAUGCCCCUGCUGAUGCUGGUUGUGGGCUAUGGAAGCGUUGGUUGCGUCAUUGUCGUUGUCAGCUAUGGGCACUUGCCCUUGCCCAUGUUAUUACGCCCUUUUAAUCUAUAUUUGAAGGUCAAAUCAUUCAUAGGUGCUCAGUUAAGAUUGUUUCCUGUGUUGAAUGUUUUAGAACAAUAUGUUUACGUUAACUAAUAUACCUUUUUGGGGUAAAA
Molecule: long non-coding RNA, 2205 nt
Organism: Capsicum annuum
Lineage: Eukaryota; Viridiplantae; Streptophyta; Magnoliopsida; Solanales; Solanaceae
Exons: 2
Source: RefSeq, a predicted model, not a curated record